GGCGAACGCUGGCGGCGUGCCUAAUACAUGCAAGUUGAGCGCUGAAGGUUGGUACUUGUACCAACUGGAUGAGCAGCGAACGGGUGAGUAACGCGUGGGGAAUCUGCCUUUGAGCGGGGGACAACAUUUGGAAACGAAUGCUAAUACCGCAUAAAAACUUUAAACACAAGUUUUAAGUUUGAAAGAUGCAAUUGCAUCACUCAAAGAUGAUCCCGCGUUGUAUUAGCUAGUUGGUGAGGUAAAGGCUCACCAAGGCGAUGAUACAUAGCCGACCUGAGAGGGUGAUCGGCCACAUUGGGACUGAGACACGGCCCAAACUCCUACGGGAGGCAGCAGUAGGGAAUCUUCGGCAAUGGACGAAAGUCUGACCGAGCAACGCCGCGUGAGUGAAAAAGGUUUUCGGAUCGUAAAACUCUGUUGGUAGAGAAGAACGUUGGUGAGAGUGGAAAGCUCAUCAAGUGACGGUAACUACCCAGAAAGGGACGGCUAACUACGUG
RNAcentral lists this ribosomal RNA (497 nucleotides) under uncultured bacterium. Its description in RNAcentral is "partial 16S ribosomal RNA". It matches the Rfam family "Bacterial small subunit ribosomal RNA", at positions 28 to 507 of the family's 1533-position model. The record is from RNAcentral.